GCAAACUUGGUCAUUUAGAGGAAGUAAAAGUCGUAACAAGGUUUCCGUAGGUGAACCUGCGGAAGGAUCAUUACAGAAGAGGGGGAUUGGUUUAUCUUACCCCGUACAAUAUACGGAGGUAGGAUAACAUCAAUGAAUCCGCAUCGAUUUUGUGUGCAUCUACCGAAUGGUUUGCUUUGGCGGAUCUUCCCUCCUCACACCCCCUCGCUUCAAAAAAACCGGGGGGCGUGUGGGGGCCCGAGAUGAGAAAGGGAAGUUGGUCUGGUUUUUUUUUCUCCUUUUUCCUUUCAAAAGUUCCCGGGGAUCUGCCAAGGUUUUUUUUCUCUUUCUUCAAAACUCUGUGACAUUUUCCAAGUAAAAAAAAGAAAUCGAAAUAAAAUACAACUUUCAACAACGGAUCUCUUGGCUCUCGCAUCGAUGAAGAACGCAGC
RNAcentral lists this unclassified non-coding RNA (431 nucleotides) under uncultured fungus. RNAcentral's name for it is "partial contains small subunit ribosomal RNA, internal transcribed spacer 1, and 5.8S ribosomal RNA". The stretch from base 1 to 73 matches the Rfam family "Eukaryotic small subunit ribosomal RNA", at positions 1759 to 1831 of the family's 1831-position model. The record is from RNAcentral. Lineage: Eukaryota; Fungi.